AACGCGAAGAACCUUACCUGGGCUCGAAAUGUAGAGGACGAUAUCAGAGAUGAUAUUUCUCGAAAGGGUCUUUACAUAGGUGCUGCAUGGCUGUCGUCAGCUCGUGCCGUGAGGUGUUUGGUUAAGUCCAGCAACGAGCGCAACCCUUAUCGUUAGUUGCCAACGCGUAAUGGCGGGAACUCUAACGAGACUGCCUGGGUUAACCAGGAGGAAGGUGAGGAUGACGUCAAGUCCGCAUGGCCUUUAUGUCCAGGGCUACACACGUGCUACAAUGGUCGGUACAGAAGGCAGCGAAACCGUAAGGCGGAGCAAAUCCUGUAAAACCGAUCUCAGUUCAGAUUGUAGACUGCAACUCGUCUACAUGAAGUUGGAAUUGCUAGUAAUGGCGUGUCAGCAACAACGCCGUGAAUACGUUCCCGGGCCUUGUA
Molecule: ribosomal RNA, 428 nt
Filed under: uncultured Chlamydiae bacterium
Lineage: Bacteria; Pseudomonadati; Chlamydiota; Chlamydiia
Description: bacterial SSU rRNA
Rfam family: Bacterial small subunit ribosomal RNA
Source: RNAcentral